This 253-nucleotide ribosomal RNA is filed under the name uncultured bacterium. RNAcentral describes it as "partial 16S ribosomal RNA". It matches the Rfam family "Bacterial small subunit ribosomal RNA", at positions 524 to 776 of the family's 1533-position model. The record is from RNAcentral.
UACAGGGGGGGCAAGCGUUGUUCGGAAUUACUGGGCGUAAAGGGCUCGUAGGUGGCCAACUAAGUCAGACGUGAAAUCCCUCAGCUUAACUGGGGAACUGCGUCUGAUACUGGAUGGCUUGAGUUUGGGAGAGGGAUGCGGAAUUCCAGGUGUAGCGGUGAAAUGCGUAGAUAUCUGGAGGAACACCGAUGGCGAAGGCAGUUCUCUGGGCCGUAACUGACGCUGAGGAGCGAAAGCGUGGGGAGCGAACAGG